This is a long non-coding RNA of Hyla sarda, 728 nucleotides long. RefSeq lists it as uncharacterized. The record is from RefSeq and is a predicted model, not a curated record. The transcript is spliced from 4 exons. NCBI's taxonomy places the organism in Eukaryota, Metazoa, Chordata, Amphibia, Anura, Hylidae.
CAGAGGAUGAGAAUCUGCUGACAAAUUAAGGGACCAAUGAUGUCCGGAUGUCAGACUCUGCAGAGAAGAUGGAGCUGGAAAAAGUCCAGAUGGGGAUGAAAAGGAAAGACAACAGAGAAGAUAUCACUCAGGUUUCUCAAGCGUAGUACACCUGGGGGACGAUAAAGCUGUUAAGAUGCUGAAUUUGAUUAUUCGCAACAGAAGAAAAGGACAGAUUGUACUCGGCAACGUAAUCACAGAUGUGUAGGGAGGUAUUCGCUGAACCGAAAAUCUUCUUUUUCUCUGAACAUCAAGGAGAGCAGAUCUGCAGAAUGCGCUGUGAAUAAUGGGAGCUCUGAACAUUUCCCAUUUGGGGUUUAUCGGCCAUUUAAUGACUUGAUGGAGGAUAAUGCAGAGAUUUGGAGGAAAUUUACAGGGAGAUCUCAGGUGACUGUAAGUACAGGCUGAUACCGGAGGACGUUAAUCUAGAGCGUGCCAAGCUCCGCUCUUCAGAGAACCGGCUCAUAAUGAGAAAACUGGAAUCAGGACACUUACACUUCAAGGGGCACAUUAUAAUUAAACGGGUCAGGAACCUUUUAUCUAUAAAGCUGUAGAGACAAGAAAAAAGUCACUCAGUCAUAUAAACCUUAUAGGGUUAUAUCCAGCGGGGGUGCCCCUAGUACCUGGGAUCUGCUGAACCUCCGAACCGUUCAUUAUAGGAUGACUUAAAUGAUAAAAUUGCAAUUGCA